This is a long non-coding RNA of Bombyx mori (domestic silkworm), 1510 nucleotides long. RefSeq lists it as uncharacterized. The transcript has 2 exons. The record is from RefSeq and is a predicted model, not a curated record. Lineage: Eukaryota; Metazoa; Arthropoda; Insecta; Lepidoptera; Bombycidae.
UCAACUUCAUUUCAUUUCAUAAUAUCAUUUUCAUAUAAACAAGUUACGUGUAUCAUUAAAAUAAGACUUGACCUAAAGGUCUUAGUUACCAGGUCAUCAAAUCCCUUAAAAAAAACUGACUGACUGACACUUCGCUUCGCUUGCUUGCUGCUUGUGUUGUGCUUGCGUUCAAAAUUGUUGUGUUUUGAUUUUUCUUCGAUUUAUUUUACUUUUAUCAAUAACGUUUCGUACUACGACUGAAAAACAUUGUGUGAAUUGUGAUUUAACUUGACCGAGAUUUAAAACCGUGUAUUCUUGUGCUAUUUUUAGAUGAUUUACUAAUUGUGUAUGAAGAUGAAAAAAAUAUAGAUAUUUAAAGAACGCGAUGGACGAGCUCACGACCUCUCUUGUUGUGAAGCGAUUAUAGGAGUCCAUAGACAACAACAUGACUACCGCAACUCAUCCUAAGAUUGUCGUCUAUGUCUAAUUGUGUUUGUAUAUUUUUACACGAUUUUUUUUUUGGUGUACCUGCUGACGGCCCAUCUGGUGCUAAGUGGUUAUGGGAACUCAUAGACAUCAAUAACAUAAAUGGGUACUUACGUAUUAACGAGACCGCGGCAAAAAUUCUAUUAAAAAGCCGAUAAAAAGCAAUAUUUAUGUUUUUAUGUAAUAGCCUAUCUUUUGGUUUUCUUAUUGUUUGCUGAUUUUUGAGCUUAAGUUUGAAUCCGCCUUAUCUCCGGCGCUGCGGCAAGAGCAGCCCUUCCGCACUCCCUCCGCGCCUCCGGUUUUUAUAUACACGCCAGGGGUAGGACAGACAAGACCAGGUGGAAAGUGGAGUGCUCUGAUUCGCUUUUCCAUAUUUUUCGAAUAUUUAUGCAAUUUUAUUACCAAAACACGAGCAAUUUUACUAUUGCUAACCAUGAAAUUUUUGGCGCGGUGGCAUUAAUACGUAAGUACCCGUAAAUGCCGCAACCCACCUUGUUACAUCGGUAUUAAGACUUAGUUUUGUAGUACAGCGGCUGCCGCACCCUUCAAGCCGAAACGCAUUACUGCUUCACGGCAGAAACAUUCAAGAUGGUGGUACCUACACGUGCGGGCCCACGAGACGCCCUACCACAAGUCAAAAUUGUCGAUUACAGAUGUUAUCAACAAUAAUAUUAUUCCAUGAUAAAGCAAUAAGAUCAGUUACUACUUCACCGUGGAAGUUUUUCGUGAACAUUAACUUUCGUUAAGUAAGUCAAGUAAUCAAACCAUUACAAAAAUUGUUACCUAUCUGCGGAAUUUGAAGACCGGCAUAGUCAUAUCCAUCGAUACGUGUACACCGGGAAUCUUACCUUUUAGGGCAACUCGACCUAAAUAUUUACAAUAUUUAAACAACUAAUUUAUUUUAGAAAAAAAAUUAAACUGUAAUUAAUCAGUUACUAAACUAACUACUAUAUUGAUUUUUUUAUUCAUUAUUAGUGUUUCCGAUAAAAAAAUAUGAUUAUUAACUAAACAAAUAAAUAAAAUGUCUUCAAACUGUUUGUUGUAA